GACGAACGCUGGCGGCGUGCCUAAUACAUGCAAGUAGAACGCACAGUUUAUACCGUAGCUUGCUACACCAUAGACUGUGAGUUGCGAACGGGUGAGUAACGCGUAGGUAACCUGCCUGGUAGCGGGGGAUAACUAUUGGAAACGAUAGCUAAUACCGCAUAAUAUUAAUUAUUGCAUGAUAAUUAAUGGAAAGGUGCAAUUGCACCACUACCAGAUGGACCUGCGCUGUAUUAGCUAGUAGGUGAGGUAACGGCUCGCCUAGGCGACGAUACAUAGCCGACCUGGGAGGGUGGUCGGCCAAACUGGGACUGGGACACGGCCCAGGCUUCUACGGGAGGCAGCAGUAGGGGAUCCUCGGCCAUUGACGAAAGUCUGACCGAGCAACGCCGCGUGAGUGAAGAAGGGUUUCGGAUCGUAAAGCUCUGUUGUAAGGGAAGAACGGGUGUGAGAGUGGAAAGUUCACACUGUGACGGUAUCUUACCAGAAAGGGACGGCUAACUACGUG
RNAcentral lists this ribosomal RNA (505 nucleotides) under uncultured bacterium. RNAcentral's name for it is "partial 16S ribosomal RNA". It matches the Rfam family "Bacterial small subunit ribosomal RNA", at positions 28 to 507 of the family's 1533-position model. The record is from RNAcentral.